This is a long non-coding RNA of Heterocephalus glaber (naked mole-rat), 5663 nucleotides long. The record is from Ensembl. NCBI's taxonomy places the organism in Eukaryota, Metazoa, Chordata, Mammalia, Rodentia, Bathyergidae.
GUAAGUAUCCACUGUAUCCAUGGAAAUGGGUGAGCUCACUGGAAAAGUGCAUUGUGGGAGAAGAGGAGCAUGGUCAGAGACUUGAGGACACUGAGUUACACAGACCGGCAGAGGGAAGGUUGUCAAAAAUAGGAGACAGAAGUAGUGGCAGAGAUGGAGGAAAACCAGGUGACUAUGGCUUAACAGACGGCAAGUAAAGAGAGCACUCCAAGCAGACAGGAACAGUGAACAGUGUGAAAUGCUCAGAGGUUAAGUCAAGUAAGAAAUGAGAAUGGUUCACUAGAUUUAGCAUCAGUGGGGUAGGAAUUAUAACUCAGGAUGAAAGCAGUUUCUGAAGACAGGUGUGAGAAGAGGCAGACUGUGGUUAGUCAAAGGGGAAGAGAAGUGAGGACGUCAUAGAGAAUGUAAAAAGUUAUUUCAAGAACUUGGUCUGUGAGGGAAAAGAGAGGAACUGAAGAAAAGUAUGGGGUACAGGAUGGAAGGCAAGGGUUGGAGGAGAUUUCUUUUCUCUCUCUUUUUUUGUCUUUGACAUGAAAGAUACUGGAGGACAUUGAAAUGGGAGGAACCUAGUGAAAAUGCUGGCAUAUAGAAAAGAGAUGUCAUUGUUGGAGGGAAGUUCCUGAGGGGACCCAGAGUGAUGAGAGCAGAGGCACAGGGUAGAAGCUAACCCUAGGGGAAGCAUAUUCCUCUAUUCCUAGCACAGGAAUAGAAAAGGGGUGGCAGGAAAUUGUAUGUAUUCUCUUCUGGGUCAUCUAUUUUCUUAUGAAUCAGCAGUCAAGAUCACCUGAAGCACUGUUUCCAAGCUCUGUUUCCCAGCAUCCAUGAACUAAGCAACUUUACUCUGCUAUGACUUCCCACCGUAAUGUUUCUGCCUUGGAACCAGCAGACCAUGGACCGAGUACUCUGAAACCAUGAGCUAAAUAAACCUCUUCUUUACAUUGUAAGUAUCAGACAUUUGGUCCCAGUAACAGGAAAGGUGACACAGAGGUUCAACUAGUUUCAUACCUUGCUCCAGGCUGUUAGUGAACAAAAGGUAGAAGUGAAACUAAGUGUACCCUUCCUCACUCCAGUUCAGUACUCUACAGCCCUCCAUUCAUAGGACUGUCAAUCCCUCAGUUACUUCAACCCCUCUGAGAGAUGCCAGUGCAGCAGUUUUAACAUUGCUGAACAAUGAAUUCAUAUAUUUUUGAACAAUAAGCUGAUAUAUUUUUUAUUCUAAAAGUAUAGCUUCUCCUGACUGAUGUAUCAGAUAAGGCAAGUUGGGGCGAAUACCACCUAUCUUGGAAAUGGUUUGGGGGCACUUUGUCACAGUGGCUGAAGUACUACUGGCAUUUAGUAGGUGAAAGUCAGGGACAUUAAAUAUCUAACAAUGCCUUGAACAGUCCUACCCAACAAAGAAUUCUCCUACCCAAGUGCCAGUGCAGUUCCUAUUAAGGAACACUAGUAGAACAAUGCAAUAGACCGUCUCCAAGGCAACUCCCCAAGUUCCCAUAUCCAGGAAUUUGCAGUCUUGUGGAGUUCUCCUACAUUGUACUAAGGAUGAUCUGGUGGACCUGUAGUAAUAAUGAAUAUGACAGAAGUAAUAAUGAAUCACAUCUAAGAUUAAUUUAUAAAAGAUUGUACCUUCUGUCUUGGUCCCUGUCUCUCUUUCGCCCAUCAUUCCACGUGGGGGAAACUGUGUUAUGAGCAUCCCUGUAAAAAGCUGCUGAAGAGCUGAAGCAUCCUGCCAAGAACCACGUGUGUGAGCUUCAAAAUGAAUCCUCCAGUCUCAUUCAUGUCUUCAGAAACUAUAGUCCUGGUCAGCAGUUUGACAGCAAACUCAGGAGAGAGUCUUAGCCAACUACGUUCAAACUAUGGGAGAUUAGAAAUGUUUUAAGUUGCUAAUUUGGGGGCAUUUCCUUAUAUAGCAAUAGAUGAUUAGUGUAAACCAUAAAGCUAUGGUUUAGCUUAAUCUGUCUGUCUUUAUCUAUCUGUCUCUAUCUUAGGUCACAGCAACACUAGUCCUGAUAGCCAGGCUUUGUAGACUCAGCCCAUAGGGAUCUAAUAUGCGUCAUGGGAACAAUAACAGGAUAUGACACAACAGAAGCUUGUGACUACCUAAGAUGAAAGGGGAAGCAGAAGCUCUUUGAGAGGAAGACAAAAAGAUAAGGGAAAGAGAAGAAAAGGAAACAUUCAACUAUUUGGGUCCUAGCUUCUGCCUAUGGGGCCACUGUACAUUGUUGUGCAAUUUGUUCAUUGUGUAUGUGUGUACUUGGCCAAAGAGUCAAGAGGAGAUGGAUAUCCAGGCAAUCCCCCACCCACCAAGAUUUGCAACCUAGCCCAGGUUACAUCUUCCUGAGAGGUGUCACUUUCUAAUUUUCAUAAGAGAUUUGUAUUAGUUUCCUAAAGCUUCUAUAAAAAACUCACAAAUUAGGUGAGUUAAAACAACAAAACUUUAUUCUUCUACAACUCUGGAAGCUAGAGACCUAUAAUCUAUUAUAAUUCCAAAUAACAUCAUCUCACCUUACCUUAAAGGCAAGAAAAUAGUCUUUCUCAAACAAGUCAGCAGAUUUUCAACAGAUUUCAAGAUUUUCACAUUGCUUUUCAUGCUAACUCUUUAGAGAUGGAAAGAGGUGCUAUAGUGCACCAAAGAGCAAUGAAAGAAGAAUAAAUUUAUGAAUGUAUAAAAAUUUACAAAGACCACCAUAGAGAGGGAAAGGCCAUUUCCCUACUAUCAUAAUCUAUUCACAGCAAGGUGUGAUAGAAAAUAUAGGACUUGGAAUCACAAUAUAAGAUUAUGAAACCCAUUUCUGUCCUUUAGUACCUUUGUGAUCUUGUAGGAGUUAUUGAACUUCUCUGAAUCUUAGCUUUCUCAUCCAUAAGAUGGAAAUUACAAUAUUAAAACUAUGUGUAUCACAGAGUUUCUGUAAGAGUUCUGUGAAAGACACACUAUUUGUGGGUAAUGCCCAAAACCACUACUGAUACUGCACAGGCAGUAAUAUAGUGCUGAGCAGCUCACACAUAAAACAAGAAACAAGUCUUUCACGGUAAAACAAAAGCUUCAGAGAAUGUAGUAGCUAGAACCAGCAUCCAAAUGGCACACAAAUUAGCAACCAGCAGCUGCUCCUGUGUUUUCAGUAACAGCCGUGCAGCAAACUCUGACACCUUAGAGACAGAUGACAGGAGAGAAUACAGACCAGACCCCACCAGCUGAGGCUUAUCAACGGUACCUUAAUGAGAAGAUACUGAAGAGUGAUAACAAAAGUUCCUUAAUGAGAAGGAACUGAAGAGUGAUAACAGAAGUUUGGUUACAAAACCCUAUUACUUUCAGACCUAUUAUUUUCAAUGCAAUCCAUGGACCAGGCAGCAGCAUCACCUGGAGAGAAGCUUCUUGGAAAUACAGUAUGGCAAGCUCUGCCCCAGACAUGCAGAUUCAGACCCUGCCUUCUAACAAUGGCCACAGAUCAGCAGAAACAGAUCAGCAGCACCCUUUGGAGAUUGGCAUGGUAAUGAAAACCUUUCUGGGUCAGAGGACGCUGCAUUCUAGAAGAGCACCUAUUAACUUCCCUGUUCAUGUGAGCAGCCUGGAAUGAGAAAAGGAAGAAAAGGGCACAAAAUACAGAAUACCAAAACAUGGAUCCUGGUAAGCUCAAAGAACGCCGAUGGAUGAUAAGGCUCUGAAAGAUGGACAGAGGUAAUGUAUGAAGCAAUGGUAUGUGAGGUUAUUGGGCAAGUCAGAGUUGCUUCUGCCACAUCCAACAAGUGAACACCACAAGUGACCAGCCCACAUCAGUUCCUUUGAGUUCAUGGUAAGAGAUCAUUUUCCUUUGUAAAAUUCUGUAACACAUAACCAUCUAUGGCUCUUCCAUUCUAUCAAAUACCACUGGCUCUAAAACAGAGGGGGCUGGAGCAGCCCUUCUGUACUUAGAGGUACUUGAGAACUGUAUCAUUUCUAAUUAUAAGAAGAGGACUCAUUAAUUAUAGACAAGGACAGUUUGUGGAGUUCUAAUAUUUACUGUGCUCCAAGAAAUCUGUUCUAAGGACUUUGCCAUCUAAUCAUCAGUCCUCUCAGCAAUGAUAUAAUCAAAAGGAAUGUGCACACUAAACCCCUGGACUAGUAGUCAUCUAUGCUCUUCAAAAAGAUAUCCAAUAAUACAGGUGAUAUCUCCACCAAUAAAUAUAAAAUUAACAAUUUAGGCAUUCAUUGAGAAUCUAAAAUUUAUUUUAAUAGACUUCUUAUUUACUUUUCUCAUUGCUGAGACAAAAUACUCAACAUCCACAAAUUGCAAGAGGAAAAGUUUAUUUCAGCUCAGUUUGUAGAGGUUUCAGUCCAUAGUUGGCUGGCUCCAAGGCACGGAAGCAUGACAGAGAGGCUUUGCAGAGGAGAAACAGUCCAUGGUAUGGUAGACACAAAGCAGUAAGCAACAUCAGAAGAAGCAGCAGGAGCAGCAGCACCAGCAAGCCCCUCUUUCCCUUUUAUCUCACCCAGGCUACAAGCCUUUUGGGUGGUGCCAGCAAACCCAGGGUGGGCCUUACCAUUAUCCGCACUCAAACCUAUGCUAACUCCAAUCAGUGGACUAAUUUAGUAGCACAUACCCUUAAUCCCAGUACAAGACACCCUAGAUCCAGCUAGUUCCAAAUAGCCCCAUCUAUGAGUGUGUGAGGGUUUGGAAGGACAUCUAGAUACAAUAAUAACAGAGGAUCAUAUCAAACUGUGUGGAGAACAGUAGGUUUUAUUUAUAAACAUGAAAAAUCUUACUUUUCUUUUUUUUUAAUUUUUAAGGUAGAAAUUCUGAUGAGCUUGGAUAUUCUCAAGUCUUACUUUGCUUGGAGGAUGAAGUGACACACAGAACAUUGGAAUGCUGCCUCAUUCACAUACGGCUUACCUUGCAUGCAUUCUAACAGCAAUGUGCAAGAAGCAGAGACUGGCAAAUUCACAAAUAUAUAGGGAUUUGAGAUUUCCCAUGCAAGUUAUUCCAGAAAUGCCAAGUAUUUUGUUUAUGACAAAACAAGAACUAAAAUGUUGACUGCCAUUUUCACCACCAGAGAGAAAACAGAGUGACAGGCUUUCAUGUUUUUGAUAAAAUAGGCAAAAGGGGAAUAGUCAUUAAUCUUGCUGAAGCUCUGUAAUAUAAAAUUAUUUAGGUGGCUGUGAAAGGAAAUUAAAUAUGCUAUAGAGAAAAAAAACAUAGCUUUUAGGGAGAUCUGCUGCUUUUUAAAAGACGAGUCUGUGAUUCUACAAUAAUGACAUAAAAGCCGAAAUGCUAUUUCCUAGUCUAUUACAUUUUAGCUGUCACUGAAACUAAAGUAAUGGAAAAGUUAUAUUUCUGUGUGUAAAGUAACUACAAAUUAUCCAUUCAUCACAAAACAUUUUAUCCUUUAUCUAUUUAGAUAUAAUUGUAGUCUUGCUCUUUUAAAUUUUAGAGAACAGGAUGUUGGUUAAUAAAAAUUCCAGUUAAAUAUUUUUUUGGUUAUUCUUGGUCUUAUUCUGUCUCUUAUUCUUUAGUCCUAAACUGGGCAGAAAUCAUGUGUCCCAGUGACAUAAAUUUUCUUUCCCCAAAUUAGCAGGUUUAAUAACUAAAAUCUCCAUUGUUUUUAUAAUCCUUUGGCAUUGUCAGUCAGUAAAAGUUUUGUGCAAUACACUAUCAGAUGUGCUGAAUCUACAUAGAUUAGUAAUAUACUAG